UGGGGAAUAUUGGACAACGGGCGAAAGCCUGAUCCAGCUACGCCACGUGAGUGAUUGAAGGCCUUAGGGUUGUAAAACUCUGUCCUAUGGGAAGAUAAUGACAGUACCAUAGAAGAAAGCACCGGCUAACUCCGUGCCAGCAGCCGCGGUAAUACGGAGGGUGCAAGCGUUGCUCGGAAUUACUGGGCGUAAAGGGAACGCAGGCGGUUUAUUAAGUCAGAUGUGAAAGCCCGGGGCUCAACUCCGGAACUGCAUCUGAAACUGGUAAACUAGAGGAUGAGAGAGGAAAGUAGAAUUCCUGGUGUAGAGGUGAAAUUCGUUGAUAUCAGGAGGAAUACCCGUGGCGAAGGCGGCUUUCUGGCUCAUUUCUGACGCUGAGGUUCGAAAGUGUGGGGAGCAAACAGG
RNAcentral lists this ribosomal RNA (405 nucleotides) under uncultured bacterium. Its description in RNAcentral is "bacterial SSU rRNA". It matches the Rfam family "Bacterial small subunit ribosomal RNA", at positions 355 to 776 of the family's 1533-position model. The record is from RNAcentral.